CGCAUCUGUGCAUGCAGCAUAUCAAUAAGCGGAGGAAAAGGGAAUCGGUCGCCCCAGUACCUACGCUUAGGAUGUUGACGCGCGUGUGUGCGUGAUCUAUACAUGACUCUGUGCAUAUCAAUAAGCGGAGGAAAAGAAACUAACAAGGAUUCCCUUAGUAACGGCGAGUGAAGCGGGAAGAGCUCAAAUUUGAAAUCUUCAAGGUUUUACCUUGACGAAUUGUAGUUUAAAGAAGUGUUUUCUGUUGAAGUUUUGGUAAAAGUUCUUUGGAGUAGGACAUCAUAGAGGGUGAGAAUCCCGUAUUUGACCAUUAUUUUCAGCUGUGUGAUACACUUUCAAAGAGUCGGAUUGUUUGGGAAUGCAGUCCAAAAUGGGUGGUAAAUUUCAUCUAAAGCUAAAUAUUGGCGAGAGACCGAUAGCGAACAAGUACCGUGAGGGAAAGAUGAAAAGAACUUUGAAAAGAGAGUUAAACAGUACGUGAAAUUGUCAAAAGGGAAGCGUUUGACACGAGUGUUGUUUUCUCGAAAAUCAAUUAAAAAGAGUUUGAUUUUGUUGUGUAUUGACCUUAACAGCUUGCAUUUCAAUUUUCUUGCUUUUUUUAAUGCACUUUUCGUUUAACAAGUCAACAUCAGUUUCUUUUGUUGUAAAAAGGUCAUUGGAAGGUGGCUUUCUUUUCGGAGAAAGUGUUUAUAGCCUUUGACUCCUGCAAUCGGAGAGACUGAGGUCUGCAGCGUAGAUCCUUCGGGGUUAGAUACAUUUGUGCUAAGUUAUAGCUUUUUAUAGACAACUUGUUGACUAUGAUUAGUCUUGUAGCUUACUCGCUUAUGCUAUUUUACCUACGCUUAGGAUGUUGACGCGCGUGUGUGCGUG
RNAcentral lists this ribosomal RNA (870 nucleotides) under uncultured Neocallimastigales. Its description in RNAcentral is "partial large subunit ribosomal RNA". It matches the Rfam family "Eukaryotic large subunit ribosomal RNA", at positions 1 to 646 of the family's 3401-position model. Lineage: Eukaryota; Fungi; Neocallimastigomycota; Neocallimastigomycetes; Neocallimastigales. The record is from RNAcentral.